AUUGAACGCUGGCGGCGUGCUUAACACAUGCAAGUCGAUCGGUAACAGGUGUAGCAAUACAUGCUGACGAGAGGCGGACGGGUGAGUAAUGCUUGGGAAUCUGCCUAUUAGUGGGGGACAACCCGGGGAAACUCGGGCUAAUACCGCAUACGCUCUACGGAGGAAAGCCGGGGACCGCAAGGCCUGGCGCUAAUAGAUGAGCCCAAGUCGGAUUAGCUAGUUGGUAGGGUAACGGCCUACCAAGGCGACAAUCCGUAGCUGGUCUGAGAGGACGACCAGCCACACCGGAACUGAGACACGGUCCGGACUCCUACGGGAGGCAGCAGUGGGGAAUAUUGGACAAUGGGGGCAACCCUGAUCCAGCGACGCCGCGUGGGUGAAGAA
Molecule: ribosomal RNA, 384 nt
Filed under: uncultured bacterium
Lineage: Bacteria
Description: bacterial SSU rRNA
Rfam family: Bacterial small subunit ribosomal RNA
Source: RNAcentral